This 258-nucleotide long non-coding RNA is filed under the name Elaeis guineensis (African oil palm). RNAcentral describes it as "long non-coding RNA (EGUI_LNC036049)". Lineage: Eukaryota; Viridiplantae; Streptophyta; Magnoliopsida; Arecales; Arecaceae. The record is from RNAcentral.
CAUCCUCCGAAAUGUCCUUCUUCAUCUCCUGGAAGAGUUUGAGAGAUUUGAGGAAGGAGCCGAUUCAGCCGUCAGGAGGGAACUCUGUAAGGGAGCUAGCACCCCAAGGAGUUCGUCAGACUUUCGAUCAGACUUGGAUCCUCGUGUGGCUAGGUGACUGUGCAACUACUGUGCAACUAGGAGAACUAGCAAAUCUACAUUCCUUAACUAUGGUGAAUAUUGAUCCACGCUCAAAUAUUGAGAUUCUGUUGGGAAUUG